UACCAGCACCCCGAGUGGUCGGGACGAUUAUUGGGCCUAAAGCAUCCGUAGCCGGUUCUACAAGUCUUCCGUUAAAUCCACCUGCUUAACAGAUGGGCUGCGGAGGAUACUAUAGAGCUAGGAGGCGGGAGAGGCAAGCGGUACUUAGUGGGUAGGGGUAAAAUCCGUUGAUCCAUUGAAGACCACCAGUGGCGAAGGCAGCUUGCCAGAACGCACUCGACGGUGAGGGAUGAAAGCUGGGGGAGCAAACCGG
Molecule: ribosomal RNA, 253 nt
Filed under: uncultured bacterium
Lineage: Bacteria
Description: partial 16S ribosomal RNA
Rfam family: Archaeal small subunit ribosomal RNA
Source: RNAcentral